GCUCGUAGUCUGACCGUUGUCCUGGCAUUGAGCGUCCGUGGUUACUGAUCAUGUGUACGCGAGGUGCUGGACACUACCUUCGGAGGAGCGUUCGUGCUUUUAACUAAGUGCGGGCGGGAUUCCGAUAGUUUACUUUGAGAAAAAUAGAGUGUUCAAAGCAGGCGUUUGCCUUGAAUACAUUAGCAUGGGAUAAUGAAAUAGGACGUUGGUUCUAUUUUGAUGGUUUACGGACCGACGUAAUGAUUAAUAAGGACAGUUGGGGACAUUUAUAUUCCAUGGCUAGAGGUGAAAUUCUUGGAUUCAUGGAAGAUAAACUACUGCGAAAGCAUUUGUCAAAGAUGUUUUCAUUGAUCAAGAACGAAAGUUAGGGGAGCAAAGACGAUCAGAUACCGUCGUAGUCUUAACCAUAAACGAUGCCGACUAGGGAUCGGUGGGCGUUAGUUUGAUGACUCCAUCGGCACCUCAUGGGAAACCAAAGUCUUUGGGUUCCGGGGGGAGUAUGGUCGCAAGGCUGAAACUUAAAGGAAUUGACGGAAGGGCACCACCAGGAGUGGAGCCUGCGGCUUAAUUUGACUCAACACGGUAAAACUCACCAGGUCCAUACUUGGUAAGGAUUGACAGAUUGAGAGCUCUUUCUUGAUUCCAUGAAAGGCGGCGCAUGGCCGUUCCUUAGUUGGUGGAGUGAUUUGUCUGGU
RNAcentral lists this ribosomal RNA (695 nucleotides) under uncultured eukaryote. RNAcentral's name for it is "bacterial SSU rRNA". It matches the Rfam family "Eukaryotic small subunit ribosomal RNA", at positions 626 to 1319 of the family's 1831-position model. The record is from RNAcentral.